This 487-nucleotide ribosomal RNA is filed under the name uncultured Desulfovibrio sp. Its description in RNAcentral is "bacterial SSU rRNA". It matches the Rfam family "Bacterial small subunit ribosomal RNA", at positions 898 to 1382 of the family's 1533-position model. The record is from RNAcentral. Lineage: Bacteria; Pseudomonadati; Thermodesulfobacteriota; Desulfovibrionia; Desulfovibrionales; Desulfovibrionaceae.
AACUCGAAAGGAAUUGAGGGGGCCCGCGACAAGCGGUGGAGUAUGUGGUUUAAUUCGAUGCAACGCGAAGAACCUUACCUAGGUUUGACAUCCGGAAGACCUUCCCGAAAAGGAAGGGUGCCCUUCGGGGAAUUCCGAGACAGGUGCUGCAUGGCUGUCGUCAGCUCGUGCCGUGAGGUGUUGGGUUAAGUCCCGCAACGAGCGCAACCCUAUUGCCAGUUGCUACCAGGUAAUGCUGGGCACUCUGGUGAGACUGCCCCGGUUAACGGGGAGGAAGGUGGGGACGACGUCAAGUCAUCAUGGCCCUUACGCCUAGGGCUACACACGUACUACAAUGGCGCAUACAAAGGGCAGCGAUACCGCGAGGUGGAGCCAAUCCCAAAAAGUGCGUCCCAGUCCGGAUUGCAGUCUGCAACUCGACUGCAUGAAGUUGGAAUCGCUAGUAAUUCGAGAUCAGCAUGCUCGGGUGAAUGCGUUCCCGGGCCUU